RNAcentral lists this ribosomal RNA (253 nucleotides) under uncultured bacterium. RNAcentral's name for it is "partial 16S ribosomal RNA". It matches the Rfam family "Bacterial small subunit ribosomal RNA", at positions 524 to 776 of the family's 1533-position model. The record is from RNAcentral.
UACGUAGGGGGCGAGCGUUGUCCGCAGUUACUUGGCGUAAAGCGCGCGUAGGCGGGUUGGCAAGUCUGCUGUGAAAGCCCGGGGCUUAACUCCGGAGGGUCGGUGGAUACUGCCAGUCUUGAAGGUGGUAGGGAGAGAUGGAAUUACCGGUGUAGCGGUGAAAUGCGUAGAUAUCGGUAGGAACACCAGUGGCGAAGGCGGUCUCUUGGGGCAUUCUUGACGCUGAGGCGCGAAAGCUGGGGGAGCGAACGGG